GCUCCUUUGUGGGAGUUGUGUCUCAUGGAGGCCGUGUGGGGUGCGGGUCGGGGCCGAGGCCGCUUGGGGAGGUGAUGGUGCCCUGAGGGCGUUGAGGGCAGCUCUCUCCGAGCAGUCCUAAUUGACCCCAUGUCUAUAGCAGUUCCUGAAAGGAGGAAAAAAGUGUUUGAUUAUUGCUGGGUUUUGCCACUUGAGCUUAUGGAGAAGUGAUUUAAAGCAGUAAAAUCUGCAGAUGUGGUGUGGAAAAUCUGCUUCCCUUUUGUCCUCUGACAGCCACAGGUGCUUCACAUGUGGAUGGUUGUCUUCAUUCUGCUGUAACUUCAACUGCAUCUCCCCUAAUCCAAGGCUGUGACUUUCCAAAAGGAGCAAAGCAGUUACACAGAGGGUCCUCUGUUGUCUUAUCUACAGUAUCAGCAGAAGGGUGGUUCAGAGAACUGCAGGAAGAAGUAAAUGGCUUUUACUUGAUACAGAUGGAAAGGACUGUGCUGGGAUAGAAGACAGCAGAAGACAAUGGGAAAGUCUGCAGCCCUUGAUGAGUGCGGAAAGGACAGCAGAGAAGGACAUAUCCAGUACUUUACCCUGGGCUUCCACUUCCAAGACGGCAACUUGUGUUGGUGUAGCUGCGUCCCUUACUCUGAGGUUCUCUUCUUCAGGAAGGUGAUGUCCUGAGGCUGGAGAU
This is a long non-coding RNA of Cuculus canorus (common cuckoo), 679 nucleotides long. RefSeq lists it as uncharacterized. The transcript has 5 exons. NCBI's taxonomy places the organism in Eukaryota, Metazoa, Chordata, Aves, Cuculiformes, Cuculidae. The record is from RefSeq and is a predicted model, not a curated record.